GCAUCGAUGAAGAACGCAGCAAAGUGCGAUAUGUACUGCGCUGUGCGCGAAUUGCGCAGUCAUUCUUCGAAUACACAUUGUCCUGUCUGGCAAACAGCCGGCAGGGCAUCUGCUUCAGGGUUGUUGAUUAGUUUAGCGCGACGCCGUUUACGGUUGUCAGCGUUCUCGAGGGUGUCGCCGCCCCGUGCGUCCCCUCCCGUUGUGUGUCCCCGUCGCUCACGCUUCUGUGGACUUGGGUGUUUGGCAGUCUGGUUCAUUGCUCGCAGUGUUCCGCUUGUUGCUUCUCCCCUUUUGAUAAUACCCGACCUGAAGUCAGGUGUGAGUACCCGCUGAACUUAAGCAUAUCAAUAAGCGGAGGA
RNAcentral lists this ribosomal RNA (359 nucleotides) under uncultured fungus. Its description in RNAcentral is "eukaryotic LSU rRNA". The stretch from base 1 to 123 matches the Rfam family "5.8S ribosomal RNA", at positions 30 to 154 of the family's 154-position model. Lineage: Eukaryota; Fungi. The record is from RNAcentral.